RNAcentral lists this ribosomal RNA (253 nucleotides) under uncultured prokaryote. RNAcentral's name for it is "partial 16S ribosomal RNA". It matches the Rfam family "Bacterial small subunit ribosomal RNA", at positions 524 to 776 of the family's 1533-position model. The record is from RNAcentral.
UACAGAGGUGCCAAGCGUUGUUCGGAUUUAUUGGGCGUAAAGGGCGCGUAGGCGGCGUGACAAGUCACUUGUGAAAUCUCCGGGCUUAACUCGGAACGGUCAAGUGAAACUGUCGUGCUAGAGUACAGAAGGGGCAACUGGAAUUCUCGGUGUAGCGGUGAAAUGCGUAGAUAUCGAGAGGAACACCUGCGGCGAAGGCGGGUUGCUGGGCUGAUACUGACGCUGAUGCGCGAAAGCCAGGGGAGCGAACGGG